Molecule: non-coding RNA, 1430 nt
Organism: Pelobates cultripes (western spadefoot toad)
Lineage: Eukaryota; Metazoa; Chordata; Amphibia; Anura; Pelobatidae
Source: the annotation of a GenBank genome assembly
UUGUACAUAAAGUUCACAUUUAUUGUAUUUUUUUUCUCACAUUGUUAAGCAGCAGUGCCACUCACUGGUGACAAAUUAUAACUUCGAUUCAGGUUGUUUUGAAAAGUUUUAUAUAUUUUUUAAAGUAAUCAACCACAUUUGGCAGGGCUUGAUACACUGAGUAUAUUAUUUAAUGAAGAAAACAAUUGAUAAAUCUCUGCUUAUGGUAAGUAAUGGUGGUAAGUAGUCAGGUAAAGUUUCCUGUGGGGAAUCUUGUGAGGAAGCAUUAACUCUGUAAUUUACUGAUCUAAGAGGCGGAGUUGGUGAUAUUAACUCAAUGUCCGGAGCUGAGCGCUGAGUCUCAUUUUAGGACAAAGUGUCACAGUGCGAGGAGAUUCUGAGCGCCAGAUUACCUCCAGCGGUUAUACCCAUUAAUGAAUGGGUUAACCACAAAGUUCUCAGCCACUCUCAUUCUGAUGAAGUUGUUAUGGUGCACAGAAUGUCCCUUUAACAUGCAAGUCGCGUACACCGAUUGUCUGUGUCCGUUCUGGAGCUAUAUGUAUCUAUAAUAAAUGCUAUAAUCUUGUUAGACUGUGUUAGUAAAUACUAUCACUGUGUGCAGACAGCGCAUGUUCUGUCUGAAUGAAUAUAAGGGAAUAUAAGUAUGUGUUAAGUGAAGCGGUUAAUCUCUGAUUUCUGAAAACAGGAAGGGAUAAAUGUAAAUUUAAGGAAACAGCAGCCAUUGAAAGCUUGUGAAUGGUUUCUGAUUUAAUACCUUGAUGGCUUCGGUCUAUAUGUCAGUGAGCAGUAAACGUUCACUUCGUAUUAUGGCAGAACAAAACGAUGACUGAAUUGUGACGCAUGGGACAGAAACUGAUGGCAUCACUCUGAAUCAUAGAGAAAUUAUAAACUAAGGACAUUCUUCUGAAGCAUUCUAGACAAACUGAUUUAAUACAGAAUAUCUCUAAAUCCUUAUUGGACCUUCAUGACAUCAUUGUGAAUGAUAUUACAGAAAAUUAUGAUGUCAUUUAGAAUCUUGUAGAGACGUUGUUUACAUCAUUCUGAGGGUUAAUACACCAUUUAUAAUUUACAGGUUUAUUCACUAGUGAGGAUUGAUGGAAAUUCAAGGAGAAAACUGUUAUAGAUGAACGAGAAGCGUAGCUGACCUAGAGAAAUGUUCCAAUUCAGCUAUUUUGGCCUUUGAAAUUCACUCUGAAUUGCCCACAAUUUUCAUGUUAGUGAAUAACUCCGAUGGUGUCUACUUUUUAUGCUCAUUAUGUCCAAGUCACUCUAAAGAUCUGGAACAAAACUUGUUUAAAAGAUAAGAAUGCGGCUCGGUUGAAUGAGUCCAGGUUGGCAGUGAUCAGAAUCUGUCUUCUGUCACCGACCCUGUAGGUGUCUUUUAAGAUGGUUUAGUCAUUGAUUUAUGUUGCCUGUCUCUGUACUAAUUG